Molecule: ribosomal RNA, 867 nt
Filed under: Coolia malayensis
Lineage: Eukaryota; Dinophyceae; Peridiniales; Ostreopsidaceae
Description: partial large subunit ribosomal RNA
Rfam family: Eukaryotic large subunit ribosomal RNA
Source: RNAcentral
UAGUAAGUGGUGGAAGAAAAAAUAAACAUGAUUCUUUUAGUAAUGGCGAAUGAACAAAGACAUGGUCAUUUUGAAAAUUGUGGUCUUAGAUCAUGAAUUGUAUUUUCAAAAUGCAUUGCUAACACAACUGCACAUGUUUGUUUAUUGGAAAGAACAUCACAAAGGGUGACAAUCCCAUGUGUCAUGUGUAUGUUUUGUGUACAGCGUGCAUUAUAUGAAUCACAUUCAUUGACAAUUGAAUGCAAAUAGAAUGGUAAAUUUCAUUUAAUCAUAAAUAUGUUGUUGACAACUUAUAGCAAACAAAUACCAUGAGGGAAAUGUGAAAAGGAUUUUGAAAAGAAAAUUAAAAGAGCUUGCAAUUGCUGAACUGAUAAGCAAACAAAACAUACGUGUGUAUGCAAGAUUGUUGUAAUGCUUAGCAUCUUAUGCAAGGCUAUUGCAAUGAUUUUUUGUAUAGUGAUGCUACCUUUUUUUAGAAUUUGGAAUGUCUUUUUUUGAGUGUGAAUGGAAUUUUGUUUGUUAGCAAAGGAAUGCACUUUUAGAUUCAUUGUUUGAUUUGAUUUAAAAAUGUUUGUGACACAUGUCUUUGUUUUAGUUUCAUGCUUCAACCAAGGACAUUGUGUUUGAUCCAUAUCAGCAAUACAUGUUUUGUUUGACCCGUCUUGAAACACGGACCAAGGAGUUUAAUUUAUGUGCAAGAUCAUGAAACUGACAUUUGUAUAUCAAUGAAAAUAUUUUGUUGGGAUUUGUGCACCAACAACUGAUAAGUUGUGUGACGCGACGUUGAGUUUGAGCAUGUUGAUUAAAACCCGAAAGAUGGUGAACUAUGCCUGAACAGAAUGAAGUCAGAGGAAACUCUGAUGGAAG